RNAcentral lists this ribosomal RNA (2613 nucleotides) under Triticum aestivum (bread wheat). Its description in RNAcentral is "partial small subunit ribosomal RNA". The record is from RNAcentral. Lineage: Eukaryota; Viridiplantae; Streptophyta; Magnoliopsida; Poales; Poaceae.
AUGCCUCGCCGAAACGGGAAUGCAUCUGGUAAGUCGCCUCCUUACGCUGAACCACUCGAAUCCCACCCCUCAAGCCCUGACUCCCCGUCUCCCAUCGCAGGCUCCGGCAGCAGUCGUCGCCGCCGGCGCGACGACGACGACGACGAGAGCGUCCCCUCCGAUAACACCUCCGACUCCGACUUCGUCGCUGAUAUGGAGGACGAGGUGGCGGACGACGACGAGGAGUUUGCCUCCGAUGAAGAUGCCCCUGCGCCCGCGGUGGUGAUCGAGGUGGUGGCGCCGCGUCCGGUGCUGUCGCCACGGCCGCCCAAGUCCAAGUGGAGGCGGAAGAAGAAGAAGGGGAAGCGCGACGAGGACGGCCCGCCCCUGCCGUGGGAAGAGUGGGAGGAGGCUAAUACCAAGUGGCUCGACGAGCGCGCCGGGGCAGUGGAGGAGACGGACGCCCCGACCGCUGGGGUGGUGCCGACCGCGGAGCCGGCCCCGGAGGUGCUGCUCCAGCUGCUGCGCUUCCAGAAGGAGUGGCUCGCGUGGGCGCUGGCGCAGGAGGCCUCGGUUUCGCGCGGCGGCAUCCUCGCCGACGAGAUGGGGAUGGGGAAGACCAUCCAGGGUAUCGCGCUCGUCCUCACCGCGCGCCGGCUCCGUCCCCCCGGCUCGCCCCCGCCCUCGCCACCGUCCCCGUCACUGGGCCUCCCGAUGCGCCGGGUAGGGUGCACCCUUGUGAUCUGCCCCGUGGUGGCCGUCAUCCAGUGGGCGCAGGAGAUCGAGCGCCACACGGCCAAAGGCAGCGCGCGCGUGCUGCUCUACCAUGGCGCUCGGCGGGGCUCUCAGAAGUAUGAUUUCGACACCUUCGACUUCGUGGUCACCACCUACUCCACCAUUGAGGCGGACUACCGGAAGCACAUAAUGCCACCCAAGAUUCGGUGUGAGUACUGCAAUAAACAGUUUUACCCCGAGAAGCUGAAGAUUCACUUGAGAUAUUACUGUGGGCCCGAUGCUCUUCGUACUGAGAAGCAGGCGAAGCAGAAGAGCAAGAAGUGGUCUGACACCAAAGUGAAGGGGAAAGGGAAGGGGAAAGGGAAGAGGAAAAAUGGUAUUGAGGAGGAGGAGGAGGAGGAUUUUGAGGAAUUGGGUAGCAAAUCCAGGGGCAAGUCACCUCUACACUCAGUGCGAUGGGAGCGGAUUAUCUUAGAUGAGGCUCACUUCAUAAAAGAUAGACGAUGCAAUACUGCAAGGGCAGUUUUUGCAUUGGAAUCGGAAUACAAGUGGGCUCUGAGUGGGACACCAUUGCAAAAUCGUGUUGGAGAACUUUACUCACUGAUUCGCUUCUUGCAAAUCUUUCCAUACUCGAAGUACUUCUGCAAGGACUGUGACUGUCAGAUACUAGAUACCAAUAUGAAGAAAAAAUGCGACUGUGGUCACUCAUCCGUCAGGCACUUUUGCUGGUGGAAUAAGUACAUAGCGACACCAAUACUGUAUGGAUCCGCGAGUUUUGAGGGCAGAAGAGCCAUGACUCUUCUCAAGGAGAAGGUCUUGAAGGGCAUAGUGUUAAGGCGGACAAAAAUAGGCCGAGCUGCAGAUCUUGCUCUUCCACCGAAGACUGUGACAUUGAGGCGGGACUCUUUUGAUAGAAAUGAAAUGGAAUUUUAUGAAGCCUUAUAUACUCAAAGCUGCACGCAGUUUGAUUCGUAUGUUGUUGCUGGAACGUUGCUGAACAACUAUGCCCAUAUCUUUGACCUCCUCACAAGGUUGAGACAGGCUGUCGAUCAUCCAUACCUUGUUGCAUUUUCCAAGACAGCAGAAUCUCAGGAAGGAUGCAAAAAUCAACAAAAUGGUGCCAUGGAAAGCCAGUGUGGAAUAUGUCAUGAAUUGGCAGAAGAUGUGGUGGUUACAUCUUGCGAUCAUGUAUUCUGCAAGACUUGUUUGAUGGAGUACUCUGCAACUUUGGGGAAUGUUUCAUGCCCAUCUUGUUCAAAGCCUCUUACUGUUGACUUAACAACAGAAAACUCGAGACGAAAGGUCCCUGCAAAUUUGAAGGGUGGCAAACGCUCAGGAAUACUAGCCAGACUACAAAGCCUAGCAGAUUUCAAGACAAGUACGAAAAUUGAUGCAUUGAGAGAAGAAAUAAGAAACAUGAUUGAGCAUGAUGGUUCUGCAAAAGGGAUUGUUUUCAGCCAGUUCACAUCGUUCUUGGAUUUGAUUGAAUUCUCCCUGCAGAGGUCUGGCAUCAAGUGUGUGCAACUUAAUGGGAAAAUGAACAUGGUGGAGAAGGGGAGAGCUAUAGAUACCUUCAUAAAUGACCCAGAUUGCAGGAUUUUCCUGAUGAGCCUGAAAGCGGGAGGAGUAGCUCUUAAUCUCACUGUAGCAUCUCAUGUUUUCUUGAUGGAUCCUUGGUGGAAUCCAGCAGUGGAGAGCCAAGCGCAGGAUCGAAUCCACCGAAUCGGACAAUUCAAGCCUAUUAGAAGCACGAGGUUUGUGAUCAAAGACACAGUUGAAGAGCGCAUCCUACAACUGCAAGAGAAGAAGCAGCUUGUGUUCGAUGGCACCGUGGGUGACUCGCCAGAGGCCAUGUCGAAGCUUACAGAGGCUGACCUGAAGUUCCUGUUCCAGAACUAA